GUCGAAAAUAAACCAAACCGUAAAGUAAAGUCCGAAAACAGAUUUACGGUCCCAAAAGUCCAGAUAUUACGUUAAUACAUUAAUAGUCUAGUUUUAUUAACCAAAAAAUCAAUCCGAGCUCCCGUGCGCCGCUUGAUCCUAAGUUUGUUGAUUACUUGAGAAGUUAGAAAAUUUGAGUGGGGUUAUAAAGUUCAGUGUGUAACUCAGCCCAUACAAACAAAACAAAUAGCAUUAUCACACGGAAGUUUGGAAACGAACAAAAUACACAGCAUGACAUACAAUACAAUGCAACAUAGUUAUCAAAUCAGAUACGGAUGGCAUGUCAUAUCAUGCAAUGCAACACUUAUUACAGAACAAAUAUAGAUCCUACCUCCAUCUGUUACGCACUAUCUCCAUCCAUCCCUACACACCAAAUAGGGUAAUAAAUACUUAUCCAACCCCACACACCAAUAAGUGAGCUUAUGUCACUAUACAAAAUAGUGUAGUCAAAGCUGCCAAAAAAUAAAGCGAUAGAAUCAGAUAAGUGUGGUCAAGCCACCACAACAGAUAUGUUGUUUAAAACCAUUAGAUAAAGUAGAUCAUUAAACUGCCAACACUUCCUCCAUCACAUUAUUAUCCCACCUCAAUGCAUAAGCAACCACUAUCCAAAUAUCUAGAUGCACACAAAUCAUACAUGCUUUACACAUCAGAACAUGCUAACAUGCUUUCAGAAUACAAAAGUAGAAUAUCAAAUUUCGUAUAUACAAGCUAUACAUAUCACAUAAUAGACCCUACGAAGUAGCUAGCAUCAAAACACACUUCAAUCACGGCCCUAACUAAAACUUACGGAUAAUGGGCCUACACGCCCGUGUGGUCGACACAGCCUACUUGACCCAAAUCGUGUGGCGCCAAUAGAAUGUUUUUCCGUAUAGCGCUACUCGCUAUUUUUCAGGACAGAAGGUACAAACCUGAUUGUUUCACGAGGCCCACACAACAUCGAGAAUUCUAGAACCUAAAAUGACAUUCAGAACGAGCGAAUAAUCAGUGAUAUGCUAAAUUUCCAAGUCACUAACUCGGUUGCAAGUGCUAAACGUUUGACCUAACAAAAGGAAUCAGCCCUUAAUCGAAAGCAUUAAUCACUUACCCAACAGAGCAGUAGCCCAACAAAUCCUCUAAUUCGCUGGAUGUAAGUUGUGUGCUUCUUGCACCUCACCAAAACAGAACCAACAAUUAAUCCAUCAAACCCACAUCCGUAAAAUCCGAAUUAAAACUAUCCAACCAGAUUAAAACAACUUUCUUACAAAAACAAACAAAUAGCUUACAGAAACUUAUGACAACCCCACGAAACCUCUGAAACACCACCAACACACUAAGAAAAGGCAACCAACGACAAUACUAGCAAGUCACUACGUCUAAACGGAAGCAACAUUGAAUAGAAAAUUGGCUAAAGAGGGCUGUAAAGGAUGUUAUUGGCAUUGUGAAAACAAGCAAAAGGAAAAGAGAAAAUUAGAGGAAAGAAAUGAUAGAGAAAGAGUUGAAAGUAGCUUGAGAAAAAACAGGAAAAUGGAAAAACAUGUGAAGAAUGGGACGACAGAAUAGGGGAGUGGGAGAGAGAGAAAAUCGUGAGUGUUUUGGGGAGAAAAUUAGGAGAAUAUUUCUCAAUCAAUUUUUUUAAAAGAAAAGAUUAACUACCUACUAAAUCCUAUCAGAUUUUGAGUCUGACAGACAUUCUGACAGCAUGGGCGGCAACAAGUAACAGAGCAAAAAUAAUUUUUUUUGCACACAACAUGAUUCAAACACAUAUGCUAAAAUUUUACCACUAAGCCAAUAAAUUUAUUCUUAUAAUUAAUUUUACAAAAAUUAAAGAUAACCCUUACAAAUCAAGUCAGACAUAGUUUCAAAAUUAAUGGAAAAAUUUCAAAGAGAAAGAAAUCGAACAAAAGACCUAAAAACCAC
RNAcentral lists this long non-coding RNA (1935 nucleotides) under Gossypium raimondii (Peruvian cotton). RNAcentral describes it as "long non-coding RNA (GRAI_LNC005546)". Lineage: Eukaryota; Viridiplantae; Streptophyta; Magnoliopsida; Malvales; Malvaceae. The record is from RNAcentral.